GCCGGGAUGGUCUAGAGGUUAUGACGUCUGCCUUACACGCAGAAGAUCGCGAGGUCAAUCCUCGCUCCUGGUA
Perkinsus marinus ATCC 50983 is the source of this 73-nucleotide non-coding RNA. Lineage: Eukaryota; Perkinsozoa; Perkinsida; Perkinsidae. The record is from Rfam.